This 468-nucleotide ribosomal RNA is filed under the name uncultured bacterium. RNAcentral's name for it is "partial 16S ribosomal RNA". It matches the Rfam family "Bacterial small subunit ribosomal RNA", at positions 28 to 507 of the family's 1533-position model. The record is from RNAcentral.
GACGAACGCUGGCGGCGUGCUUAACACAUGCAAGUCGAACGGACAGGCCCUGCUUUUGUGGGUUGCUCGAGUGGCGAACGGGUGAGUAACACGUGAGUAACCUGCCCUUGACUUUGGGAUAACUUCAGGAAACUGGGGCUAAUACCGUAUAGGAGCUCCUGCUGCAUUGUGGGGGUUGGAAAGUUUCGGCGGUUGGGGAUGGACUCGCGGCUUAUCAGCUUGUUGGUGGGGUAGUGGCUUACCAAGGCUUUGACGGGUAGCCGGCCUGAGAGGGUGACCGGCCACAUUGGGACUGAGAGACGGCCCAGACUCCUACGGGAGGCAGCAGUGGGGAAUAGUGCACAAUGGGCGGAAGACUGAUGCAGAAACGCCGCGUGCGGGAUGACGGCAUUCGGGUUGUAAACAGCUGUCGCCUGUGACGAAGCGUGAGUGACGGUAAUGGGUAAAGAAGCAACGGCUAACUACGUG